UUAGCAGGUCGGCUUGUCGCUGUUCCAAGUGAUUGGAAAAGAGGAAAGUCCGGGCAACACAGAGCAUCAUAGUUCCUAACGGAAACUUGUCCGCGAGGGCAAAGCAAGCGUAACAGAAAAUAACCGCCGAAAGGUAAGGGUGAAAAGGCAGGGUAAGAGCCUACCGCUCCGGUGGCGACACGCGGGGGUCAAUACGUCUUAUGAGUUGCAAGAUUAUGUAUAUCGGCGAUAUGAGGGUUGCUCGCCCGAUGCCGAGGGGUAAAUCGCAAGAGGCUGUCGGCAACGGCAGUCGUAGAUAAAUGACAAGCAUUCCGAAAGGAAUACAGAACCCGGCUUACAGACCUGCUGAUUUU
This 353-nucleotide RNase P RNA is filed under the name Prevotellaceae bacterium. Its description in RNAcentral is "RNase P RNA component class A". It matches the Rfam family "Bacterial RNase P class A". From Rfam's summary of the family: Ribonuclease P (RNase P) is a ubiquitous endoribonuclease, found in archaea, bacteria and eukarya as well as chloroplasts and mitochondria. Its best characterised activity is the generation of mature 5'-ends of tRNAs by cleaving the 5'-leader elements of precursor-tRNAs. The record is from RNAcentral. Lineage: Bacteria; Pseudomonadati; Bacteroidota; Bacteroidia; Bacteroidales; Prevotellaceae.